Molecule: ribosomal RNA, 254 nt
Filed under: uncultured bacterium
Lineage: Bacteria
Description: partial 16S ribosomal RNA
Rfam family: Bacterial small subunit ribosomal RNA
Source: RNAcentral
UACGGAGAGGGCAAGCGUUGUUCGGAUUUAUUGGGCGUAAAGCGCGUGUAGGCGGCGCGGUAAGUCGGAUGUUAAAGACCCACGGCUCAACCGGGGGAAUGCGUCCGAUACUGCCGUGCUUGAGUGCGGGAGAGGAAAGUGGAAUUCCAGGUGUAGCGGUGAAAUGCGUAGAUAUCUGGAGGAACACCGGUGGCGAAGGCGGCUUUCUGGCCCGCAACUGACGCUGAGACGCGAAAGCGUGGGGAGCGAACGGG